This 957-nucleotide long non-coding RNA is filed under the name Panax ginseng (ginseng). RNAcentral describes it as "long non-coding RNA (PGIN_LNC018707)". The record is from RNAcentral. Lineage: Eukaryota; Viridiplantae; Streptophyta; Magnoliopsida; Apiales; Araliaceae.
AAGGGAGAGGAAAGAAGGAGGAGAGAGAAGAAAUGAAAUAGAAUUGUUAAAACUGAGGGAGAUGGAGGAUUCCGUUUCGACUAUGGACUGAAUUCAUACAUUUAAUGCUAUCAUCAUUAUUAAAGGAAGUAGAGUAGAAAGUAGUAUGUUGUAUUUUUUUUAACCAACUUAUUUCAAUUUUAGAAAAAGUAUUAAAAUUGUUUCUAAUUUGCACAUUCAGUGCCUGGUGGUGCCAAAACAAUAUUACAGUUUUUUAUAAAUUAAUUUGUCAAAUAUUUUGAGCAUUUUAACCCUAUUUUUAUUAAACCAAGGCUUCAAUGGUCAUCGUUAACAUUUUGGUUAACAUUUUGAACGAGCUUGAGUUUUGAUUUCACUUGAAACGCAAAUACCACCCCAUACCUUCUGAAAUUAUGUGUUCUAAAAAAAAGUGGUAAUUUUACGUGGUAAGUUUCACAAUUGUAAUGCCGAGUAAAUUUAUGGAAAUACAUACAUAGCAGCAGGACUUACCUCAUUUAUUACACAUCUCAAUACAAAAGUUACCAUUAAUAUUUAUCCGCUUAAUCAAUCAAAAAAUCGAGGUUCCAAAAAUUACACAUGGGGUCAAUUUGAACCUUGGUAGCUCAAUACAUGUAAUCCAUUCAUUCCCCCCAUAAUAUCAUAUGCCAUCAACCUUUGAUGGUGGAUCUUAGCCAGGUCCUCCUAGUGUUUAUGGAUGAAAAUAACACAAUAGUGAAUACUGCAUCACAAUUAACUAAAAUUAAAAUCUUUCUACGGUAUAUAACCCCCCAUAGGCCAUAGUAGUUGAGUACAACUAGUCUUUAAGAUUGCUCAUAACAAAAUAGAAUAAUAGAUUAGAAAAAGACCAUUCUUUGAUGCCCUUCCACAAAAAUGCAUCAUACCUUCACCGGGCUCUUACACUGCAGCUGCAAAUGCAAAAGCCAAAAAAGCAACUUAUAC